Molecule: ribosomal RNA, 275 nt
Filed under: uncultured bacterium
Lineage: Bacteria
Description: partial 16S ribosomal RNA
Rfam family: Bacterial small subunit ribosomal RNA
Source: RNAcentral
ACACGUAGGGCGCAAGCGUUGUCCGGAUUUAUUGGGCGUAAAGAGCUCGUAGGCGGUUUCGUAAGUCGGGUGUGAAAACUCAGGGCUCAACUCUGAGACGCCACCCGAUACUGCGAUGACUUGAGUCCGGUAGAGGAGUAGGGAAUUCCUGGUGUAGCGGUGAAAUGCGCAGAUAUCAGGAGGAACACCGGUAGCGAAGGCGCUACUCUGGGCCGGUACUGACGCUGAGGAGCGAAAGCAUGGGGAGCAAACAGGAUUAGAAACCCCAGUAGUCC